GGAGGGGAAAUACGGUACUGGUGCCUGGCUCCCUCCUCCCUCUCCUCUUUUUCUCCUUCCCCCAUCCUUCCCAGGCCACAGUGAGCUGGUAAGUGAAGCUCCUGCCUGCUGCCAGCCACCAGCCAAGCCUGGCCUUGUGGACAACAAGGAGAACCCCAGGCAAGUUGCCUGCUCCCAGGAUGAGAAAGGAGAUGCAGGAGCCAGAUCUGCAAAGGCUGCUGGGCAGGCCUCCAGAGCCUUGGGACGGCGAUGGUGCCGAGGACAAGGACCGGAGGACGACCGUCUCUGCGCGUCCCGCUGCAGCAUUUGUGUCCCAGACUCCGGAGGCAACAUUUUCCGCGACUGGAAAACAGAAAUUGACUUCCUGCUCGUGAGGGAGGAGAAGCUGCGAUCCCCGCGGCGGGCGUGGUGACAGCGACUCCUGCAAGCGGAGCUGGCGCGAUAAGUUCCAGAGGAACCUGAGCGCGGCCGGGCUGCUCCUGGAGGAGGUGGCAGAGAUCCUGGCCCGAACAAUCUAUGGGAAAGAGGAACGUGCAAAGAUGGUCAUGGCCCGUCUGCUGACCGAGGGAGUCUACACUGCAGCCUUCCCACUGCGUGAGGUAGACAUGACACAAACCCAGCUUUCUUCCACUGCAGGGGCAUCAGGAGAAAAUUCUGGGACUUCCCUGCAGCCCUCCCGCCUUUCCUCUCCCUAGGGCCCCUGUGAUCUGCCCGGGUACCAGGUGCCUGGUGCAGACCUCAACCCUCCACAAUUGCUGUAUUCAUACUGGGCCUGCUGGGGGUGCUGGCAAAAGUACCAGCCCCUGCACCACAUACAGGAGGACUUUGGGGACAAGGCAGCUAUCUACUUUG
Non-coding RNA from Globicephala melas (long-finned pilot whale), 852 nucleotides. NCBI's taxonomy places the organism in Eukaryota, Metazoa, Chordata, Mammalia, Artiodactyla, Delphinidae. The record is from RefSeq and is a predicted model, not a curated record.